AAAAUCCCUCAAUUUACAGCAACCGUGACGAGCGCAACAAUAGUUACCGGGUAUACAGAUCACUUGGAAGCCUCGAUAUUACAGCGUCUUAAGUACAACCCAGACUUCGUAAUGCUCUGGUUAUUUCACUUGCUCUUUGGAAAACAUCUUUGGUUUUUGGGUUGAAAGUUAACACAGACGGGUCUGUGUUGAGUAAUCCUCCUUCUGCUACUUGUGGAGAAAUUUUUCAUGACAAUUUGGCUUCUUUUAAGGAUUGUUUUGCGCAGAUCUUUGUCAUCA
Molecule: long non-coding RNA, 279 nt
Filed under: Trifolium pratense (red clover)
Lineage: Eukaryota; Viridiplantae; Streptophyta; Magnoliopsida; Fabales; Fabaceae
Description: long non-coding RNA (TPRA_LNC001710)
Source: RNAcentral